RNAcentral lists this ribosomal RNA (465 nucleotides) under uncultured bacterium. Its description in RNAcentral is "partial 16S ribosomal RNA". It matches the Rfam family "Bacterial small subunit ribosomal RNA", at positions 28 to 507 of the family's 1533-position model. The record is from RNAcentral.
GACGAACGCUGGCGGCGUGCUUAACACAUGCAAGUCGAACGGAAAGGCCCUGCUUGCAGGGUACUCGAGUGGUGAACGGGUGAGUAACACGUGGGUGAUCUGCCCUGCACUUCGGGAUAAGCCUGGGAAACUGGGUCUAAUACCGGAUAGGAGCCAUUUUUAGUGUGAUGGUUGGAAAGUUUUUUCGGUGUAGGAUGAGCUCGCGGCCUAUCAGCUUGUUGGUGGGGUAAUGGCCUACCAAGGCGGCGACGGGUAGCCGGCCUGAGAGGGUGGACGGCCACAUUGGGACUGAGAUACGGCCCAGACUCCUACGGGAGGCAGCAGUGGGGAAUAUUGCACAAUGGGCGCAAGCCUGAUGCAGCGACGCCGCGUGGGGGAUGACGGCCUUCGGGUUGUAAACUCCUUUCGCUAGGGACGAAGCUUUUUGUAACGGUACCUAGAUAAGAAGCACCGGCUAACUACGUG